This 246-nucleotide ribosomal RNA is filed under the name Sulfitobacter sp. 15WGC. RNAcentral's name for it is "partial 23S ribosomal RNA". It matches the Rfam family "Bacterial large subunit ribosomal RNA", at positions 2127 to 2374 of the family's 2925-position model. Lineage: Bacteria; Pseudomonadati; Pseudomonadota; Alphaproteobacteria; Rhodobacterales; Roseobacteraceae. The record is from RNAcentral.
GCCGAACAUGUGCAGGAUAGGUGGUGGGCUUUGAAACCGAGACGCCAGUCUCGGUGGAGCCUCCCUUGAGAUACCACCCUUGUUCUGCUUGAUGUCUAACCGCGGACCGUUAUCCGGUUCCGGGACCUGUGUGGCGGGUAGUUUGACUGGGGCGGUCGCUCCUAAAUCGUAACGGAGGCGCGCGAAGGUUGGCUCAGAGCGGUCGGAAAUCGCUCGUUGAGUGCAAUGGCAGAAGCCAGCCUGCUU